This 492-nucleotide ribosomal RNA is filed under the name uncultured bacterium. RNAcentral describes it as "partial 16S ribosomal RNA". It matches the Rfam family "Bacterial small subunit ribosomal RNA", at positions 29 to 507 of the family's 1533-position model. The record is from RNAcentral.
AGUGAACGCUGGCGGUAGGCCUAACACAUGCAAGUCGAACGGCAGCACAGUAAGAGCUUGCUCUUACGGGUGGCGAGUGGCGGACGGGUGAGGAAUACAUCGGAAUCUACUUUUUCGUGGGGGAUAACGUAGGGAAACUUACGCUAAUACCGCAUACGACCUACGGGUGAAAGCAGGGGAUCUUCGGACCUUGCGCGAUUGAAUGAGCCGAUGUCGGAUUAGCUAGUUGGCGGGGUAAAGGCCCACCAAGGCGACGAUCCGUAGCUGGUCUGAGAGGAUGAACAGACAGACUGGAACUGAGAAACGGUCCAGACUCCUACGGGAGGCAGCAGUGGGGAAUAUUGGACAAUGGGCGCAAGCCUGAUCCAGCCAUACCGCGUGGGUGAAGAAGGCCUUCGGGUUGUAAAGCCCUUUUGUUGGGAAAGAAAAGAAGCAGGUUAAUACCCCGCUGUUCUGACGGUACCCAAAGAAUAAGCACCGGCUAACUUCGUG